RNAcentral lists this long non-coding RNA (1066 nucleotides) under Cricetulus griseus (Chinese hamster). Its description in RNAcentral is "lncRNA (ENSCGRG00015040876.1)". The record is from RNAcentral. Lineage: Eukaryota; Metazoa; Chordata; Mammalia; Rodentia; Cricetidae.
UUCCAGCACUCGGGAGGCAGAGGCAGGUGGAUCUCUGUGAGUUCGAGGCCAGCCUGAUCUACAGAACAAGUGCCAGGAUAGGCUCCAAAGCUACACAGAAAAACCAUGUCUUGAAACCCCCCCCCCCAAAAAAAAGAGGUGAUCAUUGUUAAUACACAUGCAAAAUUGUUAAUCAUAAAUAGGUACAAAGUUGGGGAGAUAGCUCAGCAGUUAGGAGUGCUGCUGUUCUUACAAAGGACUAGUUUCGUUCCUACCACCCCAGGGAAUCAAUGUCCUCUUCUGGUCUCCAUCGGACGGACGGACACACACACACGCACACUUUCCAUGAAAUCAGAGUUGUUUUGUUUUUGAAGUAGUAGGAACUGAACCUAAGGCCUUGUGCAUUCUAGCCAAGUGUUCUCCCAACUUUUCAAUUAAGCUCUAUCACCAGCCUUUUUUCUUUCUAGAUAGUGUCUCACUAAAUCACCCAGGUUAGCAUUGAAUUCUCAUCAUGACUUGGCCUGUGGGUGCUGUGGGCCUGUGCACAUACUUGGCUGCUGUCAGUCUCUUGUUGUCCUGUAACUGUCAGAUCCUGUUAGGACCCUGCUCUCCCCUGACUGAAGUUGAAUUUGUUUAGUAUCGUAAGUGAACUACAUAGUGACAACAGAAACACACUAAGUCCUUUGUCAGUGCAUGCACGUUUACACAUGUAGGGCAUGCACAUGUGUCUGGAGGCAAGAUGUGCCCUUUUUUUUUUUUUCUACUGAGGCAGGGUCUCUUGAUGAACUCAGUGAUACAUCUUGUCAAGGUAGCCACCUUGCCCACUUGUCUUUUGUGGGCUUUGAACACCCAAACUCCAGCCUCAAGCCAGUGGGGCAAGAGCUUUCUUAACUGAGCCAUCUCUCCAGCCUUGAAAUCUUUCUGCCGCUGCCUCUCAAGUACCUGAAUUGUAAAGGCACAUGGUUUUUGCACUGAAAAAAAUCUACCAAUUUAAAAUAAAUUUUUAGCAGCUGUUUUUUAAAAAUUUAUCUUCAGCCAAGUGGUGGCACACUUGGGAGGCAGAGGCAGGCUGAUCUCUGUGAGUUCG